Molecule: ribosomal RNA, 253 nt
Filed under: uncultured bacterium
Lineage: Bacteria
Description: partial 16S ribosomal RNA
Rfam family: Bacterial small subunit ribosomal RNA
Source: RNAcentral
UACAGAGACUGCAAGCGUUAUUCGGAUUCACUGGGCGUAAAGGGUGCGCAGGCGGCCGUGUGUGUGAGGCGUGAAAGCCCGGGGCUUAACCCCGGAAUUGCACCUCAAACUACAUGGCUAGAGCAUUGGAGAGGGUAGCAGAAUUCAUGGUGUAGCAGUGAAAUGCGUAGAUAUCAUGAGGAAUACCAGAGGCAAAGGCGGCUACCUGGACAAUUGCUGACGCUCAGGCACGAAAGCGUGGGGAGCAAAAGGG